CCUACGGGUGGCUGCAGUGGGGAAUAUUGGACAAUGGGGGCAACCCUGAUCCAGCCAUGCCGCGUGUGUGAAGAAGGCCCUCGGGUUGUAAAGCACUUUCAGUGAGGAAGAACGCCUGGUGGUUAAUACCCAUCAGGAAAGACAUCACUCACAGAAGAAGCACCGGCUAACUCCGUGCCAGCAGCCGCGGUAAUACGGAGGGUGCGAGCGUUAAUCGGAAUUACUGGGCGUAAAGCGCGCGUAGGUGGCUUGAUAAGCCGGUUGUGAAAGCCCCGGGCUCAACCUGGGAACGGCAUCCGGAACUGUCAAGCUAGAGUGCAGGAGAGGAAGGUAGAAUUCCCGGUGUAGCGGUGAAAUGCGUAGAGAUCGGGAGGAAUACCAGUGGCGAAGGCGGUCUUCUGGACUGACACUGACACUGAGGUGCGAAAGCGUGGGUAGCAAACAGGAUUAGAUACCCUAGUAGUC
Molecule: ribosomal RNA, 465 nt
Filed under: Vreelandella stevensii
Lineage: Bacteria; Pseudomonadati; Pseudomonadota; Gammaproteobacteria; Oceanospirillales; Halomonadaceae
Description: partial 16S ribosomal RNA
Rfam family: Bacterial small subunit ribosomal RNA
Source: RNAcentral